UCUGGUGACCCCAGGGGAGGUGACAACGACCCCCUUAGUGCCACCCUCGUGCCACCAACCUUCCUCCAGGUCGCUCCGCGCCGCCGCCUCCAGCAGCCGCACGCUGGCCGGGAACCGGACGCGCUUCGAGCCGCCGGCGCCGCUCUUCCUCCUCCUCCUCCUCCUCCUCCUCCUCCUCCUCGUGUCAUCGUCCCCGUCGGUGUCCCCGGUGUCCCCGGUGUCACCUCCUUGUCCCUUGGCCUCCUUCUCCAGCCGCGCCCAGGCCUUGAGCUGCUGCGCCCGGCGCCGCUGGGCGUGCUUCAGGCGCUCGCCGGCGCUCAUGCGGCUCACCGCCGGCAUCUCCGCCAGCAGCUCGGCGUGCUCCGCCAUACUGGGAGCACUGGGAGCACUGGGAGAACUGGGAGCACUGGGAAGACUGGUGGGGAGGGCAAUGGGGGCGGUGGGGGGGUUUGGUUGCGGUGCCCCCGGGGGCAUUGCCGGUGCCGGGGGGUCAGCGGUGUGUGGUCGGCAUCGCUCGGUGGCCUUCGUCCUCUUCGUCCUCUUCUUCCUCCUCCUCUUCCUCCUCUUCCUCCUCUUCCUCCUCCUCCUCCUCCUCCUCCUCCUCUUUCUCCUCCUCUAUUGUGGAGGUUGCCCGAAGAGGCCCCAAAAUUUGCCUUUUUGAACCCAAAGUUGAGCACCUGGCUCACAUGGACACGGGGACAGGGGGGGAGGAGGUGAGCUGCCGGCCUCGUUAGCAGCCGGCCUCGUUAAUUCCUGGCCUCUACCUGCCAGCCUCGUUACCUACCAGCUUAAUUAAUUACCUGCCGGCCUCGUUACCCCCCAGCCUCGUUACCUGCCGGCCUCAUUACCAAUCAGCCUCGUUACCGGCCUCGUUAAGCUCCGGCCUCGUUACCCACCAGCCUCGUUACCUCCUGGCCUUGUUAAUUACCAGCCUCCUUCCCCCCCAGCCUCGUUAGCUGCCGGCCUCGUUACCCCCCAGCCUAAUUAACCCCCAGCCUCCUUCCCCCCCAGCCUCGUUACCCCCCAGCCUCAUUAAUUAACCCCCACCCUAAUUAACCC
RNAcentral lists this long non-coding RNA (1059 nucleotides) under Anas platyrhynchos platyrhynchos (common mallard). RNAcentral's name for it is "lncRNA (ENSAPLG00000019018.1)". The record is from RNAcentral. Lineage: Eukaryota; Metazoa; Chordata; Aves; Anseriformes; Anatidae.